UACGUAGGGGGCAAGCGUUGUCCGGAAUUAUUGGGCGUAAAGAGCUCGUAGGUGGCUUGUCGCGUCUGCCGUGAAAGCCCGUGGCUUAACUACGGGUCUGCGGUGGAUACGGGCAGGCUAGAGGCUGGUAGGGGCAAGCGGAAUUCCUGGUGUAGCGGUGAAAUGCGCAGAUAUCAGGAGGAACACCGGUGGCGAAGGCGGCUUGCUGGGCCAGUUCUGACGCUGAGGAGCGAAAGCGUGGGGAGCGAACAGG
RNAcentral lists this ribosomal RNA (253 nucleotides) under uncultured bacterium. RNAcentral's name for it is "partial 16S ribosomal RNA". It matches the Rfam family "Bacterial small subunit ribosomal RNA", at positions 524 to 776 of the family's 1533-position model. The record is from RNAcentral.